UCCCAAGUGAUCUAGCGAUUAGGAUUCCUGGCUUUCACCCAGGCGGCCCGGGUUCGACUCCCGGCGCGGGGG
This 72-nucleotide transfer RNA is filed under the name Echinostoma caproni. It matches the Rfam family "tRNA". Rfam says of the family: Transfer RNA (tRNA) molecules are approximately 80 nucleotides in length. Their secondary structure includes four short double-helical elements and three loops (D, anti-codon, and T loops). Further hydrogen bonds mediate the characteristic L-shaped molecular structure. tRNAs have two regions of fundamental functional importance: the anti-codon, which is responsible for specific mRNA codon recognition, and the 3' end, to which the tRNAs corresponding amino acid is attached (by aminoacyl-tRNA synthetases). tRNAs cope with the degeneracy of the genetic code in two manners: having more than one tRNA (with a specific anti-codon) for a particular amino acid; and 'wobble' base-pairing, i.e. permitting non-standard base-pairing at the 3rd anti-codon position. The record is from Rfam by way of RNAcentral. Lineage: Eukaryota; Metazoa; Platyhelminthes; Trematoda; Plagiorchiida; Echinostomatidae.